AGGGAAUAUUGGACAAUGGGCGCAAGCCUGAUCCAGCCAUGCCGCGUGAGUGAAGAAGGCCCUCGGGUUGUAAAGCUCUUUUGUCCGGAAAGAAAAGCAUCCAGUUAAUACCUGGGUGUCCUGACGGUACCGGAAGAAUAAGCACCGGCUAACUUCGUGCCAGCAGCCGCGGUAAUACGAAGGGUGCAAGCGUUACUCGGAAUUACUGGGCGUAAAGCGUGCGUAGGUGGUUUGUUAAGUCUGAUGUGAAAGCCCUGGGCUCAACCUGGGAAUGGCAUUGGAUACUGGCAGGCUAGAGUGCGGUAGAGGGUAGUGGAAUUCCCGGUGUAGCAGUGAAAUGCGUAGAGAUCGGGAGGAACAUCUGUGGCGAAGGCGACUACCUGGACCAGCACUGACACUGAGGCACGAAAGCGUGGGGAGCAAAC
Molecule: ribosomal RNA, 425 nt
Filed under: uncultured bacterium
Lineage: Bacteria
Description: bacterial SSU rRNA
Rfam family: Bacterial small subunit ribosomal RNA
Source: RNAcentral